This 248-nucleotide long non-coding RNA is filed under the name Pelobates cultripes (western spadefoot toad). The record is from RNAcentral. Lineage: Eukaryota; Metazoa; Chordata; Amphibia; Anura; Pelobatidae.
AUCUAUAAUUUUAGUUACCCAAUCAAAAAAAUCAAUAAGAUUAGUUUGGCAUGAUCUCCCUGAAGUAAACCCAUGUUGUCUCUGAUCUUGAAAUCCAUGUGUUUUUAGAUUUUCAUCAAUCCUAUCCUUUAACAUGGUUUCCAUCACUUUCCCCACUACUGAAGUAAGGCUUACUGGCCUAUAGUUUCCCGACUCCUCCCUAUUACCUUUCUUGUGAAUGGGCACAACAUUUGCUAACUUCCAAUCUU